Long non-coding RNA from Mustela erminea (ermine), 102 nucleotides. RefSeq lists it as uncharacterized. Lineage: Eukaryota; Metazoa; Chordata; Mammalia; Carnivora; Mustelidae. The transcript has 3 exons. The record is from RefSeq and is a predicted model, not a curated record.
AACCAGAUUAUUCACAGAACUAGAACAAACGAUCCUAAAAUCUGUGUGGAUCUACAAAAGACUCAAAUAGCCAAAGCAAUGUUGAAAAGCACAGAAGUAGAG